GUAACCAAGCAGCACAUAUACUAAAAUUGGAAUGAUAUGGAGAAGAUUAGCAUGGCCCCUGUGCAAGGAUGACAUGCAAAUUCAUGAAACGUUCCAUAUUUUU
Molecule: small nuclear RNA, 103 nt
Filed under: Neotoma lepida (desert woodrat)
Lineage: Eukaryota; Metazoa; Chordata; Mammalia; Rodentia; Cricetidae
Source: RNAcentral